This 521-nucleotide long non-coding RNA is filed under the name Helianthus annuus (common sunflower). RNAcentral describes it as "hypothetical non coding rna". The record is from RNAcentral. Lineage: Eukaryota; Viridiplantae; Streptophyta; Magnoliopsida; Asterales; Asteraceae.
GCCAAAAAUUAAAUAUCUAUAUCUUACACACUCCACUACUCUUCAUUGGUCACACACAGAAUUCAUUUUGUUUUGUAUUAGCCAAUAAUCAUUCAAUCGCCUCAUAAUCUUUUCAAGAUCGGCUACACAAUGAAAAUAUGUCGACAUCAAUCCCAGGCUUGAUAUGUUGAUGGCAUACAACUAUGAGAUCAGAGUGAUGGAAGUUGGAACAUGAGUUGAUUCUUUAGCUUAUAAAGCACUCAUAUCCCUUUGACGCCAUUACUGUUGAUGUUGUUACUUUCAGCACCAUGUGAUCUAUUACUACCUUACGAGAACAAGUGUUGGCGAUGCAAAAAGACCACAAUGCAUGUGCCAAAGUGAUGUGAAGUUGGCUUAAAGAACUGCUUAUAGCGACCACGGAUAAAGUGUUGCGCACCACCCUAGGACUGUCACCAUAGUAAGCUAGAUUGUUUGUCAUGUAUUAACUAAACAAAAUUUGUAAAUAAAUAACAAAAUACUAUUAUAAUAUGACGUUUUUGAUU